UCGAGGAUCUUCGGCAAUGCGCGCAAGCGCGACCGAGCGACGCCGCGUGUGCGACGAAGGCCUUCGGGUUGUAAAGCACUGUCGAGGGGGAGGAAACCCGCAAGGGCUGACCGAUCCCUGGAGGAAGCUCGGGCUAAGUUCGUGCCAGCAGCCGCGGUAAGACGAACCGAGCGAACGUUGUUCGGAAUCACUGGGCUUAAAGGGCGCGUAGGCGGGCUGCCGCGUCCGGGGUGAAAUCCUCCGGCUCAACCGGGGAAGGGCCUCGGGUACGGGCGGCCUCGAGGGGGGUAGGGGCGUGCGGAACUGUGGGUGGAGCGGUGAAAUGCGUUGAUAUCCACAGGAACUCCGGUGGCGAAGGCGGCACGCUGGACCCUCCCUGACGCUGAGGCGCGAAAGCCAGGGGAGCGAACG
RNAcentral lists this ribosomal RNA (411 nucleotides) under uncultured Gemmata sp. RNAcentral describes it as "bacterial SSU rRNA". It matches the Rfam family "Bacterial small subunit ribosomal RNA", at positions 355 to 774 of the family's 1533-position model. Lineage: Bacteria; Pseudomonadati; Planctomycetota; Planctomycetia; Gemmatales; Gemmataceae. The record is from RNAcentral.